RNAcentral lists this ribosomal RNA (490 nucleotides) under uncultured bacterium. RNAcentral describes it as "partial 16S ribosomal RNA". It matches the Rfam family "Bacterial small subunit ribosomal RNA", at positions 30 to 507 of the family's 1533-position model. The record is from RNAcentral.
AUUGAACGCUGGCGGCAGGCCUAACACAUGCAAGUCGAACGGUAACAGGAAGAAGCUUGCUUCUUUGCUGACGAGUGGCGGACGGGUGAGUAAUGUCUGGGAAACUGCCUGAUGGAGGGGGAUAACUACUGGAAACGGUAGCUAAUACCGCAUAACGUCGCAAGACCAAAGAGGGGGACCUUCGGGCCUCUUGCCAUCGGAUGUGCCCAGCUGGGAUUAGCUAGUAGGUGGGGUAACGGCUCACCUAGGCGACGAUCCCUAGCUGGUCUGAGAGGAUGACCAGCCACACUGGAACUGAGACACGGUCCAGACUCCUACGGGAGGCAGCAGUGGGGAAUAUUGCACAAUGGGCGCAAGCCUGAUGCAGCCAUGCCGCGUGUAUGAAGAAGGCCUUCGGGUUGUAAAGUACUUUCAGCGGGGAGGAAGGGAGUAAAGUUAAUACCUUUGCUCAUUGACGUUACCCGCAGAAGAAGCACCGGCUAACUCCGUG